GGAUGUGAGGGCAAUCUGGCUGCAAUACCCCAUUGAACCCCAGGGUUAUUUGGUUGAUCUGGCUGGCUAGGUGGGUGUCCCCUUCCUCCCUCACUGCUCCAUGUGUCCUGAGGGUGUGUUUGGUCGAAGGGGAUGAUCUUUCUCAAACAGAGGAGGACCGGUCUUCGGUCCAGGGUGUACACAUGAAUAGCUGACUCCCCUGCUAGUACCUCCAAACGAGCUCUCGAGGCAAAUGAAUGCAGUGGGGGCUAAGGAGAGUCAUGGCAUCCAGCUGCUGGCCAGAGGCCUGCCAGAGCUUGUU
This 301-nucleotide small nuclear RNA is filed under the name Jaculus jaculus (lesser Egyptian jerboa). RNAcentral describes it as "7SK RNA (ENSJJAG00000001714.1)". It matches the Rfam family "7SK RNA". From Rfam's summary of the family: 7SK was discovered as an abundant small nuclear RNA in the mid-70s but a possible function has only recently been suggested. Two independent studies have found that 7SK RNA binds the CDK9/cyclin T complex (known as elongation factor P-TEFb). P-TEFb activates transcription by phosphorylating the C-terminal domain of RNA polymerase II. The record is from Rfam by way of RNAcentral. Lineage: Eukaryota; Metazoa; Chordata; Mammalia; Rodentia; Dipodidae.